RNAcentral lists this ribosomal RNA (254 nucleotides) under uncultured bacterium. RNAcentral describes it as "partial 16S ribosomal RNA". It matches the Rfam family "Bacterial small subunit ribosomal RNA", at positions 524 to 776 of the family's 1533-position model. The record is from RNAcentral.
UACGGGGGGAGCAAGCGUUGUUCGGAUUUACUGGGCGUAAAGGGCGCGUAGGCGGCCAGCACAAGUCAGUUGUGAAAUCUCCGAGCUUAACUCGGAAAGGUCAACUGAUACUGUGCGGCUAGAGUGCAGAAGGGGCAACUGGAAUUCUUGGUGUAGCGGUGAAAUGCGUAGAUACCAAGAGGAACACCUGCGGCGAAGGCGGGUUGCUGGGCUGACACUGACGCUGAGGCGCGAAAGCUAGGGGAGCGAACGGG